This 219-nucleotide long non-coding RNA is filed under the name Phoenix dactylifera (date palm). Its description in RNAcentral is "long non-coding RNA (PDAC_LNC007134)". The record is from RNAcentral. Lineage: Eukaryota; Viridiplantae; Streptophyta; Magnoliopsida; Arecales; Arecaceae.
UUUGUUCAUUUGAAUGAAUCUAACCUUGAGAUGCAGCAAAGUGUAGAUUGAGUCGACCCAAAGGAUGAUUGGGUCGACCCCGGCACAUCAAGAAGUCAUUUGGCAUACUUCUGCAAAAUUGGCACAGAUGAACAGUGAGUUGGGUCGACCCAAGGUAAGCAUGAGUCGACCCAAACUUCAAGAACCUCAAAACAUGAAAGAAAUAUGUUCUCUGGAUUU